RNAcentral lists this ribosomal RNA (246 nucleotides) under uncultured bacterium. Its description in RNAcentral is "partial 16S ribosomal RNA". It matches the Rfam family "Bacterial small subunit ribosomal RNA", at positions 57 to 305 of the family's 1533-position model. The record is from RNAcentral.
GCAAGUCGAGCGGUAGAACGUAGCUUGCUACUUUUGAGAGCGGCGGACGGGUGAGUAACGCGUAGGAAUCUACCAAUCUGUGGGGGAUAGCCAGGGGAAACCCUGAUUAAUACAGCAUACGCCCUAAUGGGGAAAGCGGGGGCUCUUCGGACCUCGCGCAGAUUGAUGAGCCUGCGUAAGAUUAGCUAGUUGGUGAGGUAAGGGCUCACCAAGGCGACGAUCUUUAGCUGGUCUGAGAGGAUGAUC